UCCAGACUCCUACGGGAGGCAGCAGUGAGGAAUAUUGGUCAAUGACCGCAGGGCUGAACCAGCCAAGUCGCGUGAGGGAUGACGGUCCUAUGGAUUGUAAACCUCUUUUGUCAGGGAGCAAAGGGCGCCACGUGUGGCGUUUUGCGAGUACCUGAAGAAAAAGCAUCGGCUAACUCCGUGCCAGCAGCCGCGGUAAUACGGAGGAUGCGAGCGUUAUCCGGAUUUAUUGGGUUUAAAGGGUGCGCAGGCGGAGGUGCAAGUCAGUGGUCAAAUUGCGGGGCUCAACCCCGUACUGCCGUUGAAACUGCAUCCCUUGAGUGCGCGAGAAGUAUGCGGAAUGCGUGGUGUAGCGGUGAAAUGCAUAGAUAUCACGCAGAACUCCGAUUGCGAAGGCAGCAUACCGGCGCUCAACUGACGCUGAAGCACGAAGGCGUGGGUAUCGAACAGGAUUAGAUACCCUCGUAUG
This 466-nucleotide ribosomal RNA is filed under the name uncultured bacterium. Its description in RNAcentral is "bacterial SSU rRNA". It matches the Rfam family "Bacterial small subunit ribosomal RNA", at positions 330 to 794 of the family's 1533-position model. The record is from RNAcentral.